GGAGACGAGAAAGUGUGAGUCGCUCUUUGCGUCUUCGACGUUUGAUCUCUGCCUCUAGACGUGUUUUAUUUUUCCAUCAGGUGUGUUCCCUCGACGAUGUCAUACCGCCACUUUGCUACGGCAAAUAACAUACUCAAAAGGAAAUAGCAACACGUGAUCAUGAAACUCUUCUUCACGCGAUUUUAAAACUAAAAUACAAAAUGAUGAAAUCAAUCUUUAGUAAAAUCAAAUUUAUGCAUCGGUCUGAUUCAAACUAAGUAGUAAAAGUAAAUAGUACAAUUAGAAAACAUACAAUGUUGGAACCACCAGAAACUUAGCCAAAUAGCUCGGAAUCCUUAUGAAGAUUUAAAAUCCUCGGAAUAUUCUGAUAAAUACUUUGACAAUAAGCGGCACUCCGUCGGUCACCAAUCCACGAAGCAACCUGCUUGUUAAAUUAACGUGCAAGUGGCUGAUCACUCUAAAAACACGUGUACGCUUAACGUAGUUCUCAGGGAGAUUCAGCGUGAUACAGUUAGUACAUGAAAAAACUGGCCCUUUGAGUUAUAGGUACAACUGAUUUUUGCCAGCCGAGUGGACUGGAGUGACAUGAAUAAAAUGUCUUGCUCAAGGACACAACGCGCCGCCAGGAAUCGAACUCACGACCAUGAGCCUAAUACCGUAACCGCUAAGUCACGCGCCUUCACACUUUGACAAUAAUAAUCAAAUUUGUUAUCUUUUUAUGCGCUGUGAACUGCACGACUAUACUCAGCUGCACUUUAACAGAUAAUUUUGGUUGUUAAAGCAAAUUUUUAUAAACAUUAGGCUACAUGGAUGGCAAAGAUAUUUAGAAAGCUUAUUUUAAAAUCAUUGGCGUACAUAAUAAAGUGUGUGUGUGUAGUAAUUUCAUUUAAGUCUAGACGUAAAACUUACGGUUCUUUACAAACUUAAGUUCCGAUUUGGUUUGAGUAAUUAUUCUUACGUUUAUGAAUGAUUUCCUAUUAAAUUUUGUAACGUUUCUUCAUCAUUAUGACGUAACAAUCUAAACAAUUCGAGUUGCUAUAGAAACAGCAUUUACAAACAAAAUCUGUUGAAAGGAAAUACUUGACAUUAUUCAGGGAACUUUUGUUUCCAAAGCGGUGAGCUGGCGGAAUAGUUAGCACUCCCGACAAAUUACUGCUAAGAAUUUUGUCCAUCUUUACGUUCUGAGUUCAAAUUCUGUCGAAAUCGACUUUGUCUUUCAUCCUUUUGCGAUCGAUGAGCACUGGUGUCUAUGUAAUCAACUGAACCUCUCCCUUAAAAUUGCUGGCCUUGUACUAAAAUUUGAAACGCGCAAGGAGUUUUCUUUUGUUAAUCUUCAGAAACAAAAUGUUUGAAACGCAGUAUGUAUUUCCAGAAAAUGACUAAUGAGGAAUCAGUGUUAGUACUAUCACAUAACGUCCUUAUUAAAUCAUUAAAAUAUUACCAACUCUACAUGAAUAAACGAUCAUGAAUAAAUGAACAUUUAUGAAUUACAGAAAUGAUUUAGCCACGAAAGUAAGUUUUUGGACUGCGGCUAUACUGGGGCACCGCCUUGAAAAGUUUACUCGAACAAACCUCUUGGUGCUUAUACCAUCAACCUGUUAAACCGAACCGUUAAGUUAUGGGGACGCAAACAAACCAACACCAGUUGUCAAGUGGUGUUGGGAAACAAACACAACACAAACAUACAAACACACGCACAUAUGUGUGUGUGCGUGUGAGAUCUACCAAGACUAGUGGAAAGAAAAAUACGCGAAGUUAUCCUUCCUCCAAUAACCCGACCCAAAGUGCUUGCAACAGAGUAAACUCUACUAAAGACACAAAGAUCGGGUGUUUGAGUUCACCCAGGUAGCAGAUUAAGUCAACCGUCUCAGAAUUCAGAGCACGAAGAGCCAGAAUGAAUACCACAAGGCAUCUCUCUGAUGCUCUACAAUUUCUUUUCUACUAUGGGCACAAGACCCAAAAUUUGGCGGGGAGAGGGCCAGUCUAUGAAAGAGUACUAUUCUAUGAAAGAAUACUUUCGUUACAACUCUGUAGUCUUGUCA
Octopus bimaculoides (California two-spot octopus) is the source of this 2042-nucleotide long non-coding RNA. RefSeq lists it as uncharacterized. NCBI's taxonomy places the organism in Eukaryota, Metazoa, Mollusca, Cephalopoda, Octopoda, Octopodidae. The record is from RefSeq and is a predicted model, not a curated record.